Long non-coding RNA from Hyalella azteca, 1168 nucleotides. RefSeq lists it as uncharacterized. NCBI's taxonomy places the organism in Eukaryota, Metazoa, Arthropoda, Malacostraca, Amphipoda, Hyalellidae. The record is from RefSeq and is a predicted model, not a curated record. The transcript has 4 exons.
AGUGGCAGACGCCCUGAGCCAAGCCUCUCUCAAGCAUCUCCUGGUGCAGUCUGCAGUGGCAGAUACCCUGAGCCAAGCCUCAUUUUAGCAUCUCCUGCUGCUGGCAAAGUCAAGUCUGAAACUUUGGAGAUGGUUGAACCUUCUCCGGUCAUAAAAGUUUCUGCUAUCUCCAUCAAAAAAGAGCUUGAUGAUGAAACUGAGGAAAUAUCCAUUAAAGAAGAGCCAUUCUUGUAUGGAAAUUAGGCUUACCCAACUGAACAGCUCAGCCAUGCACCUGCAUUCUCCUCUUGUUUGCCAUGCAAGACGGAAGUUCAAGUUGAGGAACAUGGCAACCACCCAAGCUCAUCACAGAACACUUCUGCUCUGUUGGUCAAUCAGUGUGAAGCUGGGGGGUCAGCAUCGGCAUCAGGAGACGCUGCUGACGACGCUGGCGUCUCUAGGGCGUCCAACUCCAGGCAAGGCAUGAGGCUUGGUUGUUCCCAGCGUGGAUUGGUGCCUGCAAGUGCAGGUCGACAGCAGCAGCACAUUCAUCAAGAACAUCUUGCUUCAGGACCCCAUCGUUGCUCUGACUGCGAAAGCACAUCUAGUUCAGGGAGUGGACUGCAGCAGAACGAUAAUGCUAUGCAUUCGAUAAAAGACUCGUUGCAGUGCCAAGACUGUGGUUAUAAAUGUACCUCAAAGAAAUUAAUGCAAAAGCAUGUAGCUUGCAAACACUUAUGCAGAAGGCAACACCAAUGCAACUUCUGUUUAAAUUUGUGUGACACAAAAGCUGAACUCAAACAACAUAUUCUCUUGAGGCAUCCUCAGAGAAAUUCACAGAAAUUUUCUAAUCAUAAUUAUGUCGAUGGUUGCAAAAAAAUCCUGCACAAGCGUUUUAUUUCUAAACAGUCAACAAUGAAGAAAAUGGGCUGCUCUGAGUGUGAUUUUGCUUGCACUAGAAAAGGAAACUUGAAAAGACAUUUUCUUUAUAAACAUUUAACAGAAAAACUUAUUCAGUGUUCUGAGUGUGAUUAUUCUUGUGUCACAAAAGACACGUUAAAACGUCAUUUUCUUUGCAAACAUUCAGCAGAGAAACCUAUUCAGUGCUCUGAGUGUGAUUAUUCUUGUGUCACAAAAGAGAUGUUGAAACAACAUUUUCUAAAUAAGCAUUCAACAGAAAAACCUUUUA